RNAcentral lists this long non-coding RNA (386 nucleotides) under Salmo salar (Atlantic salmon). RNAcentral describes it as "lncRNA (ENSSSAG00000122246.1)". Lineage: Eukaryota; Metazoa; Chordata; Actinopteri; Salmoniformes; Salmonidae. The record is from RNAcentral.
AUUUACAAUGUGCAGGGAUACUGGAGUGAUGGAGGUAGAUAUGUAUAGGGGUAAGGUACUAUAUACAGGGUCAGUUCCAGUAGCAUAUUUACAAUGUGCAGGGAUACUGGAGUGAUGGAGGUAGAUAUGUAUAGGGGUAAGGUGACAGGGAUACUGGAGUGAUGGAGGUAGAUAUGUAUAGGGGUAAGGUACUAUAUACAGGAUCAGUUCCAAUAGCAUAUUUACAAUGUGCAGGGAUACUGGAGUGAUGGAGGUAGAUAUGUAUAGGGGUAAGGUGACAGGGAUACUGGAGUGAUGGAGGUAGAUAUGUAUAGGGGUAAGGUACUAUAUACAGGGUCAGUUCCAGUAGCAUAUUUACAAUGUGCAGGGAUACUGGAGUGGUGGAG